RNAcentral lists this ribosomal RNA (496 nucleotides) under uncultured bacterium. Its description in RNAcentral is "bacterial SSU rRNA". It matches the Rfam family "Bacterial small subunit ribosomal RNA", at positions 38 to 507 of the family's 1533-position model. The record is from RNAcentral.
GGCGGCGUGCCUAACACAUGCAAGUCGUACGAGAAAGUUGGCUUCGGCCGAUGAAGUAAAGUGGCGCGACGGGUGAGUAAUGCGUGGAUAAUCUGCCCUUUAGUUGGGAAUAACGUACCGAAAGGUGCGACUAAUACCUGAUAAUACUGCAUAACUACUGUUGUGUAGUCAAAGAAGGCCUCUGUUUACAAGCUUUUGCUGAAGGAUGAGUCCGCGUACCAUUAGCUGGUUGGUGGGGUAAUGGCCUACCAAGGCUACGAUGGUUAGCUGGUCUGAGAGGAUGAUCAGCCACACUGGAACUGAGACACGGUCCAGACUCCUACGGGAGGCAGCAGUGAGGAAUAUUGCGCAAUGGGGGCAACCCUGACGCAGCAACGCCGCGUGAGUGAGGAAGGUUUUCGGACCGUAAAGCUCUGUCGAGCGGGAAGAAAUGUAUCAUGGCUAAUAUCCAUGAUACUUGACGGUACCGCUAAAGGAAGCACCGGCUAACUCCGUG